CUUAAUUACCUUAAAAACCAUUAAAAAUAUCAUGCUAUGCUAAGUAACAUAGCAUUCAUCGAUGAAGAAGAGAUAAAAACUUGAAACUCUUUCGUAUUUUUUGGUUACAAAAACUCUUUUGUAUUGAUAAAAGUAAAAUGUUAGUACAAUGGAAAGAAAAAUAAAACAGUACAAUUAAUGACAUAUCUUCAAUAUAUAUGCUAUAAUACUAACUAGCUAGCUGACUAAUAUAAGUUCACACAUUAGAGUUUUUAUGCAGCUGGAGCAUAGUCAUAACCACCAUCGUCGUCAUCAUCACCUUCUAUGUAUGCAAUUAGAUGAGCAGAACCUGAAUCUUCAUUCCUAAAGUAAUAAUUUCCUUUAAUACAUAUUGUAGAUGCAUAACCAAACCAAUCACCGUCACAUUCACCAUAUGCAGCAUGAUUGCAUUUUGGAGAAAUAUUGACCAUGGAAAUGGAUGUCAUUUUGGUUGUGAGGUUGGCUAUGUUAAAAGUGUGUGAUUAAAAGAAGAAAAUGGAAUUAAUUAGCAAUAUAUGAUAUGCUAGGGUACACAAGAAGUUGUGUGAGUUGAGUUAGUAUUGGAGAGUUUGUGUGAUAUAUAUAACAAGAAGAGAACUUGUUGGAGUUGUUCUCCCUCCUCCAACAAGCAAACCACACAGGAAGUGUGUAAUAUUGCUUCAGGUGUGUGCAUCGCUCAUUGCUUGCUUGUGUAAUAUAAUGGGAUCUUGUGCAGCCACAUUGGCAAAAUUGUCUUUACAAUUCAGCAUACACGUUGGAAGAAGCAGCAUAGAUUCAAGAAUUAAUAUUGACAAAAUAGAAUGUUUGAGUGGAUGCUUAAUGGUUGUAGAACAUAUAAAGUGUUGAAUGUAGAAAGUGGAACGACAUGUUGUCAUUUGAUGAUAUUCUUUGCAAGCCAAUGACGCGGCUACGAGAGUAAUAAUUUUGCUUGGAUCAUAUUGAAUUUUGGGGAUAUUAUAAAUUCUUAUAACACUAUACACUCAAGAAGUCAAGGGCGAAAAACUCUCAAACUUUUGGGUCAAGAGUGAAAUUCAAAGGAUUAUCCACAUUUGAACCAAAAUAUUUCAUACAUUUGGAUUCUUUGUUAGACACUACAACUUAACUCAAAACCUUUAGACAUUCAAUUUAUGAAUUCUUUCAAUUCAGAGGAUUAUCCAACACAAUAAUGACGUGAUGAUGCCUCUAGCAACAAUGUUUAGAAAAUGUUUACUUUUUGUUUUAGUCUUUUAGUUUAUUCUUUUACUGGUAAAAAUAUAAAAUAAAAAUGAAUAAAUUGGUGCAGGUUGUGCAAAUUCGUCAAAAGAGUGUGUCAUGCCAUAUAGCACAACUCUAUAUGCAUCAUUAUCUUUCUUUCAUCAAACUCGAUUUAAAUAGUGUUUGUGUGGACUUUUAAUAAUAGGUUGGUAGGUCUAAAUUCACCGUUCUCAAAUUUAAGAUUUAUAAGUGUGUUAUUCAAUAUUUUUAAAAUUAUGUUUGAGUUCAAAAACAAUAACAUGAAAAUAUGGAUAAGUAAUCAUGUUUGAUGUCAUAAGCAUUUUUAGACCUAUCACCUUCUUGUUAAAUGAUCCAUAAAUAUUUUUUAAAGAAGUUGGAAGAAAAAAGGGUAAUAGUGCAAAUAUUCUAUGAUUUAAAGGAUCAAUUUGUAACAGAAAAACUUCAAAAAAUUAACUUAUUAUAAACAUCUAAUUUAAAGGACCAUAAGAGAUAUUUGACCACAAUUUUUUUCUUCAUUUUUUUCAAGUUAUUUUAACAGCUAAUUUUAUUAAAGGCUACAAAUUUAAUCCACUUGUCUCCUAUUCAUAUACUACCAACUACCAACUAGUUUAUCAACCAUUCUUACUUUUUUACCAAACAAGUUUCAAUGGGCUAUUGCGAGAGUUUUUUCCCCUUGGGUGAUUGGAAAAGCUAGAGCACAAGUAAGGCUACCCUAAAAUGAGGAAUCUAUGAAGUCCCGAUACUUCAAAAUGGAUGACGUACCGUAUCCCUUGCGUAUCCUGCACCGAUACCUACCUGAUACUUCCCGAUACGUAUCAAAAGAGUAUCCGAAGAUUAAAUUUUAUUUUUAAAAAAAAAUAAUUAUCUGAUACUUCCCGAUACGUAUCAGGAGAGUAUCCGAUCAUUAUCCUACACAGGUAUCUGCCCUGAUACUUCCCAAUUAAUGUUAACUAAAAUAACUUAACUCUUGAUUACUGAUGUGUUCUUUUUUAAUAUAGUGUUUCUUUUUUAGAUCGAUAUAGUAUAACACUAACAAUGUUCCUUUUGGAUAUAAUAUAACACUGAUGAUGCUCUUUUUAGGAUAUAUUGUGUAUGUAAUUGGCUAAUAAUCAAUCUCUUAAUCGUCAAUAUUAUUUAUAUUUAUUUUGAUGUGCUACAAGCCGAUGACUGAUUUAUGUUGUUUGUUAAUAUAUUUUCAUAUUAAAAAAAUGGUAUAAUUAUAUUGUACAUUUAUAUAUAUAAUUUUUUUUAUUAACGUAUCUCAACCGUAUCGUAUCUUGAUUUUUGAAAUUUUUCCGUAUCGGCGUAUCGGUGCAGGUGCAGUAUCAUAUCUGUAUCGUAUCUCGUAUCCGGACUUCAUAAGAACGAAUCAAAAUACGAUAACGUAAAUAAAAGAAAAACAAAAGCAUCACACGUGUUUGAACAAGUUGUAAUAAUUACACCAAACAGUCCAAAGAAUCAUUAAAACCAAAAACAGCAAAAAUGACAAAACAUAAAGGACAUAGACUAACCAAUAAAAAUUCCUAGCUAAAUGAAUUCACUCAAACAUUAUAUGCAUCCACUCAAACAUUCUAUUUUGUCAAUAUUCUUGAUUCUUUGCUGCUAUUUCCAACAUUUAAGCUGAAUUGUAAAGACAAUUGCCAAUGUGGCUGCCCAAUAUGCCAUUACACAUGCAGGCACGUAGCAAAGCUCACACCUUAAGUAAACAUACACACUUCUUGUGUGGUUUAAUUGUGGUGGAAUAACUCAACAAGUUCUCUUCUAGUUAUAUAUAACACAAAACUCUCUAAUCCUAACUCAACUCACACAACUAUCUUAGCAUAUCAUAUAACUAAUUCCAUUUUCUUCUUUUUAACAUACACUUUUCACAUAGCCAGCGUAAAAACCAAAAUGGCAUCCAUUUCUUUGGCCAUUAUUCCAAAGUGCGAGCAGCAUGGAUAUGGUGAAGGUAACGGUGAUUGGAUUAGUUAUACAUGUGUAUCUUGCAUUGAAGAAAAUUAUCACAAUGGAGAUCGAGACUCAUGCAAAGAAGGCGAUGAUGACGAUGAUGGUGGUUACGACUAUGCUCCAGCCGCCUAAAACACUAAUGUGUUAACUUACAUUAGUCUUCUAGUUAGGAUAUUUACAGCAUAUUGAAGAUAUAGUUAGUAGUCGUUUAAUAAAGUUCGAAAUUAGAACUUAACAAGUUUAGUGCCUAUAAAUAGGUUUGAUGUCAUUAUAAUUGUACUGCUUUUUUCCGUUUCUAACAUUUUACUUUUAUCAAUACAAAAGAGUGUUAAGUUUUGAAUAAUGAUACUUGGCACAAAAAUAAUUUCGCGUAAAACACACGAGUUAGUAUGUAGCUCACACAUGUUCCAUUUUAAUUCCAACUCGCUUCAUGCAUUAAUAGGAUUCGCGACAGUUGUGGUGCCUCCAGUGGAGAAAAUUCCUUAAUCACCGUGACUAAAAAGAGUUUAUUUUAACGUCAGGCGUGAUUAUCAGUUUGUAACUGAGGAAGAAAUUUGUAAAUCUGCAUAAAAGAAUCCAAACCACAUUUCCCAUCUCAUCUCAUUCCCUUGUUCUCAGUCAUAAAUUAUGUAAAAUUAAUAGACUUAUUUGGUUUCAAACUUGAACAAUGCAUAAGCGCUAGCAAAAAAGUUUCUCUAUAUAGUUUUUUUUGGGACUGUGUCAUCAAUUUCACUUCAAUGGUUAUUUGAUUUCUCGUUUUUACUUGAAAUGUUUUAUUCGUCAAGGUGUUGGGAUUAAGGUUGGUGGAUGAAAUUAUGUACUUAUGUUGCAGAGGUGGUCAUGACACAGGUUACACAUGCCAAAUUUCAAAAGUGACUACGUGCGACAUGUUGUGGUGGCUAAAAGGGCCCAUAACUUGUACGUUUAUAAGUCUGUGAGCUUCUUUCAGUGUGUCAUCCACCGUUCAUGCCUUUUGUGCGAAAAAUAUAUUCGCAACAUACACCCCUCCUCAAAUAAUAAACACACAAACUAAGUCGUGCAAUUUGCACGAAAAAACUUGUCGUCCACUUUAUCAUUUCCUGUUUUUCAAUUAGGAUAAAAGGAUAAAAUUAAGAAAAAUAUAUACAUCAUUGCGUCUCCUUUGACUCGAUUUGCGUCGCCACUAUGUGUACUAGGGUUUAGGUUUCUAUGCUUUAUGUUGUUUCGUGUGUACAGUGCUUUAAACAAUAUUUGGAUUUUUACCUUCUCUAUAAAUUUAUCCGGUCUUCAACCUUAGAAAUAUUAGCUAUUUUCCAGUUUAAAAAAUUUGUUACGCUCUCAAUUAUAAAAUUCAAAAAGGAGUCAUUUUUGUUUUUGAAAACAAAACGAAUUCGGAUUCCUCACCGACGAAAACAAAAAUCCUCACCAUCUCACUUGAAACACAAAUCCUCACCGUCUCACUAUGGUUAAUUUGUUUCCAGUUCGAUCACAGUUCGAAAUCUUUACCAAAUAGUUACUGUUUCCUCUUUCACCUGUUCCUAGUUCAAAAUCUUUUUCUUCCUUCUUUAAUCUUCAUCUUCCACCAUUUUUAAGAAGAAAAAUCAACACUAAAGGGUAAUGAGAGAACCGGAAGAAGUUGCAUUUUGUAGCAUUGAAGUUGGAAGAUGACACGACUCACUCUCAUUACUUUGUUUUCUCACUCAGCUUUUUCUAUAUGGCGUGUACAAUUAAUAAGAACAAAAUAACGAAUGAUGGUAAAAGUAUUUUUCUUUCCAAAUUAAAGAUUCUCUUUGCAAUGUUUGUUUAUGUUAUUUUCCCCUUCAGUUUCCUUUAUAGUAUACCUGAACACUACUAUCCUAAAAUCGCAUUAUAAUUUUUUUUGUCGCUGCGGUAAGCACACUGAAAUUCAUGCACACAAUUGUUGGUUCCUGAAUUUGAAUUUGGAAGAAUGUGUCCAACUUAGCAAUUUUAACAUUAUAUACAUCAGCUAUUUUAAUAUAUAAAAAAAAUCAUCAAAUGACAUGUGAUAGAAUUUCGCACUUAUGAUUUUCAACAAUGAUACAUCGACACUCCAAUUUCCUGAGCACUCAUUCACAUCUAUUUCUCUCUAUCUCUUUUCCUAUCAUAUCACCAAUUGAUCAUGCCACUUUUUUAUACCUUUCUCUCUCAAUCCCUUUUCUUAAACUGAUCAUCAUGUUUUAAACUGCGGUUCGUAUACAAUGCAAACAAAUUAAACAGAUACAGGCCACAAUCACCUUCAAAACUAAAAAACUAUCAUGAUAUGCGAAGAAACAUGGAUGAAUUAAGAAGAGAUAAAAACCUAACACUCUUGCAUUGAUAAAAAGUAAAAUGUUACAUAUGAAAAAGAAAAAGAAAAGUAGUACUACAAUUAAUAGUUAAGUACUAAUUUUUAACUAUAUUAAACGACUACUAACUAUAUCUUCAAUAGGCUUUGAUAUUAACUACUAUACUUAUGUAAGUUAACACAUUAGAGUUUUACGCAGCGGGAGCAUAGUCAUAACCACCAUCAUCGUCAUCAUCGCCUUCCUUGUAAGAAUCUUGAUCCCCAUUGCGAUAAUCUUCUACAAUACAAGAUACAGAUGUAUAACCAAACCAAUCACCGUUGCCUUCACCACAUGCAUUCUGCUUGCACAAUGGAGCAAUGACCGUGAAAAUGGAUGCCAUUUUAGUUUUGAAGCUGGCUAUGGGAAGAAAAUGAAUUAGCUAUAUUGGAUGCUAAGUUAGUUGUGUGAGCUGAGUUAGGAUUGGAGAGUUUGUGUGUUAUAUAUAUAACUAACAAGAAGAGCUGUUGUUGGAGUUGUUUGUUCUAUCACAAGUAAACCACACAAGAAGUGUGUGUGUGUUUGCUUAAGGUGUGAGCAUGGCUCGAUGCCUGCAUGUGCAAUGGGAUCUUGUGCAGCCACAUUGGCAAUUGUCUUUACAAUUCAGCUUACACGUUGGAAAAUGCAGCAUAGAAUCAAGAAUAACCAAAUAGAAUGUUUGAGUGGAUGCAUAUAAUAGUUGGGAACAUAUAAAAUGUUGUCAUUUCAUGAUGUUCUUUGGAAGUCAACAAUCCAGCGACGAGAGUAAUAAUUUUGCUUGGAUCAUAUUUAAUUUUGGUGAUAUUACAACUUGAUAAACACUAUACACCCAAGGGGCAAAGACUCUCAAACUAUUGGGUUAAGAGCGGAGUUCGGAGGAUUAUCCGCAUUUGGACCAAAUCAUUUUAUUCACUUGAAUUCGUUGUCGAGUAAUAAAUUCAAAGACAAUACAACUUAACUUAAUCUUUAGACAUUCGACUUAUGAAUUCCCUCAAUUCAGAGGAUUAUCCGCAACAAUAAUGACGUGACGAUGCCUCUAGCAACAAUGUUUAAAAAAUGUUUACUUUUUGUUUUAGUCUUUAAUUUAAUCUUUUACCGGUGAAAACGAUAAAAUAAAAAUGAAUAAAUUGGUGUAGCCAUGCAGGUUGUACAAAUUCGUCAAAAGAUGGUGUCGUUCCAUAUAGCACAACUCUUGAAAAAAUUAAACAUUAAUUAGGUUGGUAUGCAAAUUGAUCCUUUAAUUUAGAAAAUAUAUGCAUUAUUAUCUUUUUUUUUUUCAUCAAACUCGGUUAAAUAGUGUUUUCAUGGAAGUUUAAUGUUAGGUUGGUAGGUCCAAAUUCACCGUUCUCAAAAUUAGUAUUCAUAUGUAUAUUUUCAGUCUUGAUUUGAAAGAAAAAUGAUAGAUUGCUCGAUUUAUAACAUUGCUAAUGAAAUAUUUAUCUUUAAAUUUAGGCUUGAAUUCAAAAACAAGAAAAUGAAAAUGUUGGUAAUUAAGUAAUCAUGUUUGAUGUCAUAAGCAUUUUUAGACUUACCACCUCCAUUUUUUUUAAGAAAGACUUACCACCUCCAUGUUAAAUGAUCCGUAAACACUUUUUAAUCAAGUUGACGGAAAACAUGGUAAUAAUUUCAAUAUUUUAUGAUUUAAAUGACCAAUUUAUAACAAAAAAAAAAAAAAAAAAAACUUAAAAUGAAGGGUCGACCAUUCUUACUUUUUUACCAAACAAAGUCUCAAUGGGAUAUUGUGAGAGUUUUUGCCCCUUGGGUGAUUGGAAAAGCUAGAACACAAGUAAGGGUCCCGUACCUUAAAAUGAAGGAAUCAAAAGACGAAAAAAGAAAAACAAAAGCAUCACACGUGAAAAUUGACAAAACAUAAAGGCCUUGGACUAACCAAUAAAAAUUCCUAGCUAAAUGAAUCGAUUAACUUGUCAUUCCACUUUCCACAUCCAACACUUUAUGCUGUAUGUUCCCAACAAUUAUAUGCAUCCACUCAAACAUUCUAUUUUGUCAAUAUUCUUGAGUCUUUGCUUCUUUUCCAUACGUGUAUAUAUGCUGAAUUGUAGAGACAAUUGCCAAUGUGGCUGCACAAGACCCCAUAUUACACAUGCAGGCACGUAGCCAUGCUCAUACCUUAAGCAAACUUACACACUUCUUGUGUGGUUUGCUUGUGUUAGAACUACUCAACAACUUCUCUUCUUGUUAUAUAUAACACACAAACUCUCCAAUCCUAACUCAAACACAGCUCAACUCACACAACUACCUUAGCAUAUCAUAUAACUAAUUCCAUUUUCUUCUUUAUAACAUACAUUUUUUAACAUAGCCAGCGUAAAAACAAAAAUGGCAUCCAUUUCUUUGGCUAUUACUCCAAAGUGCAAGCAUCAUGGAUACAGUGAAGGUAACGGUGAUUGGUUUGGUUAUACAAGUGUAUCUUGCAUUAAAGAAGAUAAUCGCAAUGGAGAUCGAGACUCAUGCAAGGAAGGUGAUGAUGACGAUGAUGGUGGUUACGACUAUGCUCCCACUGCCUAAAACUCUAAUGUGUUAACUUACAUUAGUCUUCUAGUUAGGAUUAUAGCAUAUUGAAGAUAUAUAUAGUCGUUUAUUGUUCGAAUUUAGUACUUAACUAUUUGUUUGUUAGUGCCUGUAAAUAGGCUCGAUGUCAAAAGAGUGUUAAGUUUUGAACAAUGAUACUUGGCACGACAAGAAUCUCGCACAAAACACACGAGUUAGUAUGUAGCACACUUAGGUUCCAUUUUAAUUCUAACUCAAAAUAACUCGCCUCAAGCAAUAAUAGGAUUUGCGAUAUCUGUGGUGCUUCUGACUGUGGAGGAAAUUCCUUAAUCACCAUGACUAGACAGAGUUUAUUUUAACGUCAGGCACGAUUAUCAGUUUGUAACCGAGGUAGAAAUUUGUAAAUCUGCAUAAAAGAAUCCAAACCACAUUCCAUUAUUCUCAGUCAUAAAUUCUGUAAAAUUAAUAGACUUAUUUGGUUUCAAGCUUGAACAAUUAAUGCAUAAGAGCUAGCAUAAAAUGGUUUCAAGCUUGAACAAUUAAUGCAUAAGAGCUAGCAUAAAAGUUUCCCUAUAUAUUUUUUCUUUGGACUGUGUCAUCAAUUUCACUUCAAUGGUUAGUUGAUUUCUCGUUUUUAUUUGUCAAGGUGUUGGGAUUAAGAUUGGUGGCUGCAAUUACGUCCUUACGUUGCAGAGGUGAGGUGUUAAUAAUGACACAGGUUGCACAUGCCAAAUUUCAAAAGUGACUAGGUGUAACUUGCUGUGGUGGCUAAAAUGGCCCACAACUUGUGGGUUUAUAAGUCUGUAAGCGCUGAAGCUUCUUUCAGCGCGUCAUCCACCGUUCGUACAUUUUGUGCGAAAAAUAUAUUCGCACCAUUUAGCACUCCACAAAUAAUAAGCACACAAACUAAGUCGUGCAAUUUGCACAAAAAACUUGUCGUACACUUUAUCAUUUCCCUUUUUCAAUUAGGAUACAAGGAUAAAAUUGAGAAAAAUAUAUACAUCAGUGUGCCUCCUUUGAUUCGAUUUGUGUCGCCGCUCUGUGUACUAGGGUUUGGGUUUUUAGGCUAUCGGUCGGUUCGUGUGUACACAACUUUAAAAUAAUAUAUAUUUGGAUUUCUACCUUCUCUAUAAAUAAACCAAGACCAUAACUAUAGCUUUAUCCGGUCUUCAACCUCAUAAAUAUCAGUUAUUUUCCCGUUGAAAAAAUAUUGCUAUGCUCUUAAUUAUAAAUUCCAGAAGGAGUAAUUUUUGUGAUUGAAAACAAAAUAAAUUCUAAUUUUAUUUAAAAAAAAUCUCUGAAAGUUAUUCUCUUAUAAAUUAUUGAACAUCAAAAUCAUGUUUCUUAUAAGGAAAAUGCUAACCUGUAAUACCUGCGGAAUUACCUAAGGAAACGUCCAAAUAAUAUUCCUCAAUAGUUCCGCAGGAAAAUCCUCAGCAAUUUUAAAGUUACCUGCGGAUUUUCCUGUGGGAUCCGGAUUCGCAGGAUACUUCGUAUGACUAACAUUAUCCGCAGCAAAAUCCUCAGGUAUUCCUGUGGAUUGUUUUCCGCAUAAAAAUACGUAGGAAAAUCGAGAGUUUCAAGUAGUGCAAAUGAAUUGUAUUUGAGAUAAAAAUUAAGUUCGUGACAAAAUUUGAUAAACUUGAUUUAUUUAUAAUUCAAUCAAUUUUAUUCAUGAGUUUGUUCCAUAGUGUGUUAUACUUAAAAAAAUAAAAAAUAAAAAUAUAAUUGAUUUGACAUAUAUGUUGUCUGACUAAGGGAAAGUGCAGCAUUCCUGCGGAUAAUUUUUCGCAUGGAAAUCCGCAGGAAAAUGAGAGUUUCUAGUAGUGAUAAAAUACUUUAUGUUAGUUGAAUAUGUUUGUGAUUGAUAGAUUUUUAUUUUAUAUGUUUUUAUGUAUAUUGUUGAUGGCCAUUUUGUGUAUCAACCCGUUAAAUUAUUAAUUUAAAAUGUUAAAGAUCUUUUUUUUAUUUUUUAAGCUCUGUGAUUUAAGCUAACGAACUUAGUUGAAUUGGUCGUGAAUUUAAUACGAGCCGAGUAUGAACUAAAAGAAAGCCCUAUAUAGAACUUGAGUUGAGUUUUAAGCUGAAAUAAUUUCUAUCAAGUUUAAUCAAGUUCGAUUCGACUCACUUUCAAGCCAACCAUUUUUCCUCAACAUACUUAUUAUUUUAUUUUUUUUAAAUAUCUAUUUUACAUUUAUUAUUGACUUAGUUUUAAUAUUAAUAUUAAUUGGCGUUUAAGUUUUUGAAAGUUAUGCCAGUAGCUAAAGAGUGGUCCUUGUGAGCUUAUAUAUGCAAGGUCUGGGGUGCAAACCUCGGCCACCACAGAAGAAAAAAAAAGAAAAAAAAAAGUAGCGAGAGAGUGAAAUAAAAUACAAUGAAUUUUGUCUGCAAUUCAGCAAAAGGACGUAUUUUCUAUUUUAUAUUAUCUUCGUUUCUUUGAAUACCAAUCAUGUUCUAAAUUGUGGUUGUGAUAUACAAUGCAAACAAACAAGUGACUAAAAUAUCAUACCUAAUACUAUAUCAUGCCUAAUACUAAAAUAUUGUAGAGAAAUGCAAAACAAACGCAGCCUAUACAGCCACAAUUACAGUUGCAAUGUCAUUGCAAAGACCUUUAAACUAAAACCAUUAAAACUACCAUGGCUAAUACUAACAAGCAGUGACUAAAAUGUAAGUUAGCACAUUAGAGUCUUAUGCAGCGGGAGCGUAGUCAUAACCACCAUCAUCGUCAUCAUCACCUUCCAUGUAUGUAACUAGAUCAGCAGAACCUGAAUCUUCAUUCCUAAUGUAAUAAUUUCCUUUAAUGCAUACUGUAGAUGCAUAGCCAAACGAAUCAACAUCACAUUCACCAUAUGCAGCAUGAUUGCACUUUGGAGCAGUAUUGACAAUGGAAAUGGAUGCCAUUUUGGUUUUGACGCUGAUUAUGUGAAAAGUUUGUAUUUAAAAGAAGAAAAUGGAAUUAGCAAUAUAUGAUAUACUAGGGUACUAGCUGUGUGAGUUGAGUUUUGAAAUUGAGUUAGAUUAGAGAGUUUGUGUGUUAUAUAACAAGAAGAGUUGUUAUUGGAGUUGUCCUAACACAAGCAAACCAUGCAGGAAGUGUGUAUCUUUGCUAAAGGUGUGAGCAUGGCUACGUGCUAGCAUGUGUAAUGGAAUCUUGUGCAGCCACAUUGGCAAUUGUUUUUAUAAGUCAGCAUGCACGUUGGAAGAAGCAGCAAAUUAAAGAAUCAAGAAUAUUGAAAAAAUCGAAUGUUUGAGUGGAUGCAUAUAAUAGUUGGGAACAUUUAAAGUGUUGGAAGUAGAAAGUGGAACAACAAGUUAAUUGAUUCAGUUAGUCAAUGUGCUUUAUAUAUAUUUUGUUGUUUCUUCUGUUUUUGGUUUGGAAAUGUUGUCAUUUCAUGAUAUUCUUUGGAAGCCAACCAUGCACGAGAGUAAUAAUUUUGCUUGGAUCAUAUUUUAUUUUUGUAGAUAUUAUAUCUUUUUAAAACACUAUACAUAUUCAAGGGACAAAAACUCUCAAACUUCUGGGUCAAGAGUGGAGUUCGGAGGAUUAUAUCCGUAUUUGGACAAAAGUAUUUCAUUCAUUUGCCUUUAUCGAACCAUAUAAUUCAAAGACACUAGAACUUAACUCAAAAUCGUUAGGUAUUUCAUUUAUGGAUUCUCUCACCUCAAUUGUUCAACAUUCAUUUUUUUUGUUCAAAUUUAUUGCUUUAAACUCACCUCGCUAUUAGCAAUACCGCCAACAACACAUUAAAACUCUAUUAAAUAGUAAAUAGCUUAGAGUUGAUAACAUGUUUGCAAGCAGCACUACAAAAUCAGACCUCCAAAAUUUGGGGAUCAAAUAUUUUUUUAUUUUUAUAAUGUAGGUUGAAGUAAGUGUAUAGUAUUAAUGUUUAAAGAUUUCUAAGCUUGCAGAUAUACUUUAGCUGUUGCAAUUUGUGUUGAUCCUUCCAUGGUUCUUGGGUUCAACUCUCAUCUAGGACUAAUUAUUUUUUCUUUUAAUUCUUUUUUUUUUGUUCUUUUGUUUUUGGGUUUUUUUUUUUUUUGUCAAGUAGUCUAGUGACUAGAAUUCACAUUUUUCAAGGUGAAUAAGUGGGGUGUCUGGGGUUCGGGUUCGAACCCCAGCCCCCGCAUAUAAUUAUGCAUGUCCCUGCCAACUGAGCUAUGUUCACGGGAACUUUAUUAACAAACACAUUAGAACCUUUUUUUGUUCUUCUUAUAGUAUAAAAUAGCAAAGCUCUAACAACAAAAUUAUAAUUAUUUUCGUAAAAAAUAAAAUAAAACAAAUGUUAUAAACAUUUUUUUCUCUUUAUAAAAAAUUGAUUUUUUUUUUUAGGGGGCUCUCUUUAUUUUGAGAAUCGGACCACAAAUUUCAUAGGAACGGCUCUGAAUAGAACAUUCACAACAAUUGCAAUCUUUACCUUCCUUCUUUGUUCUUCAUCUUGUACCUUUUAUAAAAAGCAAAAAUCAAACACUAGAAAAAAUGGCCUAGGGUUAUGAGAGAACCGACAAGAAGUUGCAUUUUGUAGCUUCGAAAUUGGAAGAUGGCAGUGGCACGACUCACUCAAUCACAAUUUUGUUUUCUCACUCACUUUUUUCAAUAUGGCACGUACAAUAAGAACAAAACAAUUAAUGAUGGUAGUAAUAUUUUUCUUUUGCAUUUUACCCCUGAAAUUUAUUAUUAUUUCCAAAUUAAAGACUCACUUUGCAAUAUUUAGUUAUGUUUUUUACCCCUUCAUUUUCUUUUCUCACAUACCUUAACACUUAACUAUCCCAAAAUCACAUUAUAAUUAUUUUUUUCGUUGGUGGUAAGCAUCACUGAAAUUCAACCAAACAACUAUGAAUUCUUGUGUUUGAACUUGGAGGAUUGUGUCCAACGUAACAAUUUUGACAUUGUCGGUUAAGAUAGGCUCUACUCUAUGGACAUUACAUUAUCUAUUUCACUUAUAAAAAAUAAAAAAAAUAUUAAAUGACAUUCGAUAGAAUUUCACACGUAUAAUUUCCAACAAUGAUACAUCAGCACUCCAAUUUUUUUAACGCCCAUUAAACAUAUAUUUUCUCUCUUUCUCUUUUAUUUUCUUCAUAUCCUCAUAAUUCCUUCCACCUAUUUGACACUCACCGAAAAUUAUUUAAUAAAUAAUAAUAAUUUUCAUUAUCAUUAAAAUACUUUUUUUUCAUUCUUUUAAAAAUAAGUCAUUUUUUUAAAUAAAAUAAAUUUAUUAUUUAUAAUAGCGGUGGUGGUGGGAGGUUGUUGAUAGUCGGAGUUCCUUUGUAUUAGUCGUCGACCGUCCGCUAUUAACCAUCAAAGAGGGGUGGUUUAGGGUCAAUUUUUGACCCCAAAUCACCCGUUUUUCUCCUUCCCUUUUAUUUAAAUAAGUGAUUUUUACAUCGAAUUAGGUUUUUCUUUCGUGAUUUCGUCGUCUUAGUGCGACGUUGUUUUGUUUGUCGUCUUUGUGCGACGUUUGUCUUUUCCCUCUUGUUCAGGUGUUUGUUCAGAUUAGAUUGUCAGAUCAUCUUCGAUCCAGUGCAGAUCCAACCAAUGACUUUGGCGUCAUCAACGUUGCAGAUCCGGAGGCAUGACUAUUUCGGAGAUUUUAAUAUAGUCAUAUUUAUAGGCUUAUGUACUUUGUUGUUUUAUGCUAUUAACAUGGAUGUUGUGAGUUUGUUCACAUGUUCAUCCUUUUUGUUUUUAGCGAAUUUGUAUUGCAUCGAUGUACUCUAUCAAUUUGAAUGAAUGAUGUCGUUUGUUUUUUGUCAAAAAAAGAAGUAUGUGUAUCUAUUUAACGGGUGUUUAUGUAUCCCUGUUUAAAAAUAUCACAUUUAAAAUAAAAAUAAAAAACUAUUUUUGAAACUUUUAAUUUAUUUGUUAUGGAUUCUUAGAAAAUAAAUAAUCUAAAAAUUGUUUUGAAAUAGAAGAUGUUUUAAAUAGCUUCUCUUAAAAAACCUUUUCUAUGAUUGAUUAAUUAAAAAAAAAAAAAAACAGAGUGAUUUUCGUUUUGACAAACAAACGCAAAUUAAAUUUUAAAAUUAUUGUACAUCAAAAUCACUUUUAGUGUAAUAUAGAUAAUAAAUAGAUCCUUAUUCAUCCAAUCCAAAAACUUGCAAAAAAGUUUAAAUGGGUAUGAGCCAUUACACAGGACAAUGGUUGAAACUAUCAGUAUAUGUGUUUAGGCUCGCCAUUCCCUUCAAAUGGUAAAGUAACAUUAACAUUGACCCUCUAACAGACGUUUGACAGGUUUUGUUUGCGAGUUUGAAGGGAGGGGGGAGAGGACUUUAGAAGAAAAAAAGUUAAGGAGAAAAUGGAAGAAAUAUAUUACUUUAGAAUGGUAGUGGUUUGAGGGGUUCAUUUUCUUCAUAAUACAAAAUCUUCCUAUUUUAGGGGAAUUGAAAAAUUGUAUUUGAAUGUUUGCAUGAAUUCUUCAAAUUCAAUCUUGUUAUAAUAUUCUUGAAAUUCAACAGAUGAGAAAAUUCCUUUGUUUUUAAGAGAUGUACUUUUUAGGGAUCGUCUAGGAUUGCCCAAUUUUUUAUUCCCUUAACUCUUUUUUUAUGUUCUUCUAGUCUUUUAUUUCGUUUGUUUUGCGUUCGGCACAACCCCCGACUCUUUCUAUUUCUUUUUUUAUUAGUAAUAUUUUAUUUUGAGUAUGCUUGUAUUUGAUUUGGAGUAUUAUAGAUGAGCGCAGAGUGCUUUUAAAUAUUUAAAUACAUUAAAAAUCAUCAUAUAUAAUAGAGUAAUUUGAUAGUGGAUACCUUUUAUUAAAAAUGCCAAACCCAAAAGAAUGAAAUAAAAGGUUGUGUUCUUGUUCUGCUUGUCAGAAUAAAGACACACUCUUUUCUCUUUAAUAACUAUCUCCGUUUCUUUUGAUACUGAUCAUCAUGUUCUAAAAUACGGUUUGUAUACAAUGUAAAUUUUGACAUUGUAGAAAAAUGCAAACAAAUGCAACCGAUACAGGCCACAAUAACCUUUAAAACAUCAAAACUUAACACUUUUUUGUAUUCAUAAAAGUAAAAUGUUAGAAAUGGAAAAAAGUAGUACAAUUAUAAUGACAUCGAGCCUAUUAAAUAGGCACUAACAAACUAAUAGUUAAGUACUAACCAACAGACUAUUAGCAUAAACAAAAGAAGAGACACAAGAUACUUAGCUUGCGCCACAAGUUACAUUUUAGUAGAUUUACAUUUCAUUGCAAUUUGAAUGUAAUUUCGAACUAUAUUAAACGACUAUUAACUAUAUCUUCAAUAUGCUAUAAUACUAACUAGUGACUUAUGUAAGUUAACACAUUAGAGUUUUAGGCAGCAGGAGCAUAGUCAUAACCACCGUCAUCGUCAUCAUCGCCUUCCAUGUAAGAGUCUCGAUCUCCAUUGCGAUAAUCUUCUUCAAUGCAAGAUACAUAUGUAUAACCAAACCAAUCACCAUUACCUUCAUCAUAUCCAUGCUCCUUGCACUUUGGAGUAAUGGCCAUAGAAAUUGAUGCCAUUUUGGUUUUGACGCUUGCUAUGUAAAAAGUGUAUGUUGGAAAAGAAGAAAAUGGAAUUAGUUAUAUGAUAUACACUAAGGUAGUUGUGUGAGUUGAGUUGUGUUUGAGUUAGGAUUGGAGAGUUUGUGUGUUAUAUAUAACAAAAAGAGUGUUGUUGGAGUUGUUCUAACACAAGUAAACCACACAAGAAGUGUGUAUGUUUGCUUAAGGUGUGAGCAUACCUCAGUGCCUGCAUGUGUAAUAGAAUCUUGUGCAGCCACAUUGGCAAUUGUCUUUACACAUUCAGCUUACACGUUGGAAAUAGCAGCUAAGAAUCAAGAAUAUUGACAAAAUAGAAUGUUUGAGUGGAUGCUUAAUGGAUGUAGAACAUAUAAAGUGUUGGAUGUAGAAAGUGGAUUUUUUUAGCUAGGAAUUUUUAUUGGUUAGUCAAUGGCCCUUUAUAUUUUGUCAUUUCUUCUGUUUUUGGCUUGAUGAUUCUUUGGACUGUUUGCAGUAUUACAACUUGUUCAAACACGUGUGAUGCUUUUUUUUUUUCAUUUUGAUUCCUUCAUUUUAAAGGCACGGGACCCUUGUGUUCUAACUUUUCCAAUCACUCAAGGGGCAAAAACUCUCACAAUAGCCCAUUAAGAAUUUGUUUGGUAAAAUAGUAAGGAACAUUUGAUAAACUGGUUGAUAAUAUAUGAGAUUAGAACAUCCACAAAGGAGAUAUCCAUUUCUUAGUACUUAAAUGGAUCCCUCAUUUUUAUAUAGAUAAAGCAAGAGUAUGAACUUAAACUAAAGUAGUAAUAGACAUCUCAACUAGGUUUGCAUCCCUAGAACCACGCAUCCCUUUCAAGCAUACUUAAAAUUUAUUAAAAAAGAUAAAGAACGAGUUAAAGAAAUUGGCAAUUACACAAUUAUAGGUGAUCCGUAAAACAAUACGUCUCUUAAAAACAAAGGAAUUUCUUCAUUCAUUGAAUUUACCCAAACCAUAACAUCCUCAGUCGAAAAUGCAACACCCUUAAUGCUCCAAAAUAGAAACAUAUAAAGUGAAACGACAAGUUGAUUGAUUCGUUUUGCUAUAAAUUUUUAUUGGUUAUUCAAUGGCCUUUUUAUAUAUGUUUUGUUUUUUUUUUAUAUGUUUUGUUGUUUCUUUUGUUUUUGGUUUGGAAUAUUGUCAUUUAAUGAUAUUCUUUGGAAGCCAAUGACGCGGCAACCAAAUAAUUUUGCUUCGAUCAUAUUUAAUUUUGGGAUAUUAUAACUUUUUAAAAGACUAUGCACUCAACUCAAGGGGGUAAAAACUCUCAAACUUUUCUAUCAAGAGUAGAGUUCUGAGGAUAAUCCGCAUUUGGACCAAAUUAUUUCAUUCACUUGGAUUCUUUGUCGAAUCAUAUAAUUCAGAGACACUAUGAUUUAACUCAAAAUAUUUAGGCAUUCGAUUUAUGAGUUCUCUCACCACUAUGUCCAACAUUCAUUUUUUAAUCCAAUUUAUGGCUUCAAACUUACCUCGCACUUAGCAAUAACACCAACAACACAUUAAAACUCUAUUAAAUAGCAAAUAGCUUAGAGUUGAUAACAUAACUUUAUAUACAGUUGAUAGCAGAUAAACAAAGACAACGACGUCGGAAGCAAUUAGAACAUUGGCAACAACUGGAAUCUUUGCCUUCCUUCUAUAAUCUUCAUCUUGCACCUUUUUUAAGAAGCAAAAAUCAAUACUAGAAAAUGGCUUAAGGGUUAUGAGAGAACCGACAAGAAGUUGCAUUUUGUAGCUUCAAAGUUUGAAGAUGGCAUGACUCACUCGAUCACAACUUUGUUUUCUUUCAAUACUAGUUACAAACCCGUGCGUUGCACGGGUUUAAUAACGUAUUUUAUAAAAAAAAAUCUUUUAAAAAAAAAAUGAGCAAAUUAAUGAAUAUUGUACAAACAUUAUAAAUCUUUAUCAAAAUAUUUAUGAAAGCUUUAUCAAGUCUUUAAUACACAUUAAUAUUUGUGAUGAUUGAUAAAAGAAUUAAAAAGAGUAAAGGGUAUAGAAAUAAAUUUAUUAAAGAAUUAACAAUUUGUUUAAACUUAUUUUUGUUACAAUUUAGACCAAAAAAAAUAUUGGACUUCAUUGAGUUUCUCUAUAAUUUUUUUAUCAGGCUUGAAGUUAUGACUCUGAGUUUGAAAACCGCAAAAUUCACAAAAAUUAUUGAAGAAACACUAUAAACAAAUAAACGGCAUCGUCAAAAAUGAAAUCAUAUUUGGCUAUAGUGAUCAAGCAAACAAAAAAAAAGAAGCAUAUUAAAUACCUAUAAUCAAUGGAUUCUAAUUGCAUAGAGGCGACACUUAUACUUUCUCUAUGUUUGUUCAUCAAUGAGAGUGAUUAUUUUGCGCUUUCCUUUCAGAAUUGUUCUUGACACCUAGUUUGGGAAAUGCUAAACAGGGAAAUAACUGUAAUAUUAAUCUAAUGCAUAUUAACAUGGAUAAGAUGUAUGCGAAUAUAGUUAUAUAUAACUUAUGAAAUGAAGGUAACAUAACUGAUUUUAAGCUAAAGAAAAUGUACCAUGACUUCUAAUUUAUCUUUCUAUUAUCUUCCUAUAAAGUCUAGAGAAAUGCAUGCAUGUGCAUUAUAUGUACCCCGUUGACCAAUUAACAUUUUUGAAACAAAUGAAAAUUAAGCAUCACUCCCGCAUGUGCAUCUAUAGCUAACACCAUUUGACAUUGAUGUCUUCGAACAUUUGGUGCAACUCUCAUAAUACCAUCCAAACUGGUUAGGAUUGAAUUUAGUUGUUUUUCCAAAUAGUGAUGGAGUAUGUAUCCUAACACAAAUUAUGCACGUGAAAUAAAGAAUAGUGCAAUAUGCAUUUUUAAUUUGUGCGUAAAAAAAUUCAAAGCAUGUUUGUGAAAAAAAAAAAAAAAAACAGACCUUGACUAAGUUUAUAGAUUCAUCAAUUGGCCUAACUUGAGACAGAUUGGAAAAAUCGUUCUACGAAGUACUUUUUAAACUUUACUUUUUAAUCUAUCUGAGCUUGAGAAGUGUUAAGUUCACGACAACAAUUCAAGAAACAUGGUCAAUAAACAAUCAAAUCAGAUUGUGAAAUAAUAAGUUACUCUAACACUGUAUUGUGAAAUCAUAAUGCAAACUUACUAAGUCUUAAACUUUUCAACAACCGGAUGAUGUAGGUUGAUGAGCAGCCUCGAACCUGACCAAUUGUUACAUCUAUUUGCGUUGUCAUUGACUACAAAAUAGAAGCAAAGAAUUCAAGGUAAAUAAAUGGUAAAUGAUAAAGCUACAAAGUAUUUUACCCAUAAUGUUACAUCAACUAUAUUCCCAAUGCUCUAAAUCUCUAUAUCGAGUUAUUACAUGAACUCGAUCACCCUAAAUCCGAGAAAGAAACCAAAAAAUAUAAAUAAAUCAAAAUGUAUACUAAUAAGUAACAUUGAUAAAUCAUAAAAGAAAUUACUACAAAUCUUAACUAACUUAUCUAACCUUUGCAUCACAAAUAAUGAGCUUCAUAUGUUGAUUCUCAUUACUACCAGUCACAAUUCAAGAAUCCAGUACUCCAAAUCCUAUUUUCCAAACGUCUAAAUCAUUUUUGAGAUACUUAAUGUAGUCAUAAUCCCUUGACAUUGAAAUUCAUAUAUAGAAAUACAAUAAUACAUCAUUUAAUUUUAUUCCCUUUGUUCAUUCUGAUAUCGAAAGAAGCUAACAUAUUUCUAUGUGAUCAAUUUUUGUAUCAUCAAAUUAACCUGAUCUUAAAUGUACAAAUUUCUAUCAUCAACUUUCUGGACCCCAAUGAUAUGAUCAAAACAAAUUUACACCAAUCAACUUUUUGCACGGCUCAAUGAUAUACGAAAGAAUAAAUAAAAUAUGAAAACUGUUACAGCUUUAGGAUUACUCACAAAAACUAAAAUAAUUGAAAUGCAUCAAUUAUUUUCAACUCCUGUACCAGAAGCUAAAAUAACAAUUGUGUCAAAACCUUACCAUCAGUUAAAAUUCAGUCAUCAUGACCUCUACUAUACUCCACAUAACAAAAGACGAUUUUUCUACAGCCAUGCAACAUAACAAAUUUUGGUACAUAAUCCAAUAACAAUUGGAAAAAAAAAAAAAAAACCCUUAAAAUGCAUAAUCAUGAAAAAAGGAAGAAAACCAUCUAUGAUGAAGCAAAAACUAAAACGGUGUCGAAAAAUGAAGCCCUUAAGCCAUAAAAAUCAGUCAACUCAAGUCAUGCAUGGUCUCAGAACCAUGAAAAAAGAUAGAAAAUGACCUUUUUUUUUUUUGUGGUGGCCGGGGUUUGAACUCCGGACCUUGCAUAUUUUAUGCAUUGUCCUACCAACUAAGCUAAGCUCACGAGGACGAAGAAAAUGACCUCUUAUGAAGAAGAAAGUGAAACAGUGUUCCCGACUGAACUUAGAUACCGUUUGGUCAAGGUUUUUUACAUUAUAAAAGUUACUUCAAAACAAAGUAAAAAUAAAGGCCUUUAUGAAAGAAACUAAAGUUAUUUGGUUUUUUUGUUUUGUUAGUUUUAAAGCUAUUUAAGUUUAAUGUUGUUUGGCAAAAUAUUGUACAAACUUUGAAUUUAUUAUUUUUUAUAUGGUGUCUGGGGUUCGAACUCCGGACUUGGCAUGUAUUUAUGCAUUGUUCCUAUCAACUGAGCUAAACUCAUGAGGACAAAACUUUGAAUUUAUUAUUAAUUAACAUAAUAAAUAAAUAAAAUGUUUAGAAUAAUUUAUGAAGGCUAAAAAUGUUAAAAAAAUAAAAGAUAUUUUUUUUACAAAUACGAUAUUUACUCAAUAACGUUUAUUUUGUGUAACAUGAAUACAAAUUAAUAUCAUCAUAUAAAUAACUUGUUAAAUAUUUGAAUAGGAGAAACAAUUUAAGGAGUCUGGAAUAAUAAUAUAAAUAAUAUCAAAAUAUUUGAUUUUUUCUAUUUCAAUUAUACUCUAUAACAAAUUUCGUUAUAAGAAUACCAUAUUUUUUGUGUCUUUCAAAAAGAUAAGAAUUUAUAUUAUAUGAUAUUAUAUUUGUUACAUUGUUGGUGUCAUGGAAACAGAUAUGUUUAAUUUUUUUGAACAUGAAAAUGAUAUGCAUAGUUUGUUACGAUAUAAAGGUGCAAUAUAUAUAUAUAUAUACACCUUUUUAGGCAUCUAUACCUUUUUUUGAAGAAAAGACAUCUACAAUUUUACUUUUAAUUAAAAUUUAAAUUUUAUAAAAAUAAUCAUACGCAUUAUGCAACGCUAAAAAAAAUUAUACACAUUAGCGUAACAAAAAAACAGACACACAUAAAGAAUUACUCUAAACGCUAAUGUGUAUGUGCGUAUAUAUUUGCGAGGUUGAAGAAAGAAAAUACAAAUAUUUGAUAUCAUUAAAUGACAGCGUGAAUAAAAAUAUUUGUGAAGUUGUGAUGAUUAAACGAUAUUGAAAUUAUAAGUGAUAAAAAGAUAAUAAAAUUCCUUUGAAAAAAAGGUAAUAAAAUUAAAUGGAACCUCCUUAAAAAAAAUUAAAUUGAACGCUUCAAAUUAAAUGGAAGAAAAAAAUAUAUUGAAGUAUAAUAUUAAAAAAUAAAAAAAAAGGUUCCCAACGUGAAUUGAAGAGAGAUGCUUGUGAAAUAAAUUGUCGAGAAGUAGUUUUUUGAAGAAGCAUUCAACAACUUUUGGUCAAAGUUCAUUGCAUUCAAUUUUAUGCAUUAAAAAAGGUACAUUUUUUAGAAAGUACUUAAUUGAUAUUGUAUUUGACCUAACUUCUCCUUAAAAAUAUAGGGAAGUUGAAAAAAAAAACCGGGUCAAACGGUAUCUUAAUUUCCCACAACGGCAGUGUAGAAACAACUGAAUUUGGGAGAAAAAAAUUGGAAAAUAGUUAAAAAUAAAAAAAAUUGAAAAAUAGUUAAAAAAAAUCGGUGAGGUAGCACCUAACCAAACAACACUAAAAAAAAUUAUAUGCAUCAGCGUAACAAAAAAACAGACAGACGGACAUAAAAUAUUACUCUAAACGUUAAUGUGUGUGUAUAUAUUCGCGAGGUUGAAGAAAGGAAAUAAAAAUAUUUGGUAUCAUUAAAUGACAGCGUGAAUAAAAAUAUUUGUGAGGUUGUGAUGAUUAAACAAUAUUGAAAUUAAAAUAAUUAAUAUUGUGUUUGACCCAACUUCUCCUUAAAAAUUUAGAGAAGUUGGAAAAAACUCGGGUCAAGCGAUACCUUAAUCUCCCACAACGGUAAGGUAGAAGCCACUGAAUUUGGGAGAAAAAAUUGGAAAAUAGUUAAAACUAAAAAAUAAAAAAAAUCGGUGAGGUAGCAUCCAACCAAACAACACCAAAAAAAAAUUAUAUGCAUUAUCGUAACAAAAAAAAUAGACAAACGGACAUAAAAUAUUACUCUAAACAUUAAUGUGUGUGUAUAUUCGCGAGGUUGAAGAAAGGAAAUAAAAAUAUUUGAUAUCAUUAAAUGACAACGUGAAUAAAAAUAUCUGUGAGGUUGUGAUGAUUAAACAAUAUUGAAAUUAAAAUAAUUGAUAUUGUGUUUGACCUAACUUCUCCUUAAAAAUUUAGAGAAUUUGGAAAAAAGCCGGGUCAAACGAUAUCUUAAUCUCCCACAACGGCAAUGUAGAAGCAACUGAAUUUGGGAGAAAAAAUUGAAAAAUAGUUAAAAACAUAAAAAUUGGAAAAUAGUUAAAAGUUAUUAAAAAUUAGAAAAUAAUUUAAAAAAUUGGUGAGGGGCAAAAUGGGAAAUUUGGCAUAAAAAAGAUGAGGUGGCAACAAACCAAACCCACCAAUUAGAAAAUUACUUAAAUGCCCAUUCCAGGGACAAAAUGGGAAUUUCAUAUGGCAUCAAUUUUAAGAGUAUAUAGAUGUCGCAUAUAAUAAGAGCAAAACAAUGAAUGAUGGUAGUAAUAUUUUUCUUUUGCAUUUUACUCCUGAAAAAUAUUAUAAUUUCCAAAUUAAAGACUCUCUUUGCAAUAUUUAGUUAUGUUCUUUCUCACUUCAUUUUCUUUUAUUGCAUACCUUAACACUUAACUAGCCCUAAAUCACAUUAUAAUUUUUUUGGUCGGUGGUAAGCACCACUGAAAUUCAACCACACAACUAUGAAUUCUCGAGUUUGAACUCAGAUAAAUGUGUACAACGUAACAAUUUUGACAUUACCAACUAAGAUAGAUUUUAUGGACAUUACAUUAUCUAUUUUAACUAUUAAAAAAAAAUCAGUAAAUGAUACGUGAUCGAAUUUCACACAUUAUUUUCAACAAUGAUACAUCGGCAUUCCAAUUUUUCAAACACCCAUUCAACAUAUAUUCUUUCUCUUUUUUUUUUUUUUUUCAUAUCAUAUCACCAAUUUAUUAUCACAUCACUUUUUUUCUCUCUCAAACCAUUUUCUUAAAAGGAAAAUAUUUCAUAGACACCCUCAUAAUCCUUCCACACCUAUUUGACACUCAUUGAAUAUUAUUUAAUAUAUAAAAAUAACUUUCUUUAUCAUUAAAAUACUAUUUUUUUCAUUCUUUUAAAAGUAAGUAAUUUUUUUUGAAACAAAAUAUAUUUAUUAUUUAUAAUAGUGGUGGUGGUGGGAGGUAGAGUAUAGUCGGAGUUCCUCCGCAUUGGUCGUCGACCGUCCACUAUCAAUCACCACCAAUAUAGAGGAUGAGUGUUCAAUGGAUAGGAGUGUCAAAUAGGUGUAUCUAUUUAACUGGUGUUUGUGUAUCUCUUUGUAAAAAUAUGAUCAGAUCACCCACGCUACUUAUAUCUAUGAGCUAAACCCAAUAGUAUUUGGCAUGAAAGAGUGUAUAUAUAUUGGGAAAACUCAAAUUCUUCAUAUAAAAUAUAUGAGUUUAUAAGCGAGACAUGCAUCAUCUUACAAACUAGUUUUAUAAGAAUGAGUUACGCCAAAUAUAAAAACCUUAUAUGUCCCCUUCAUUUUCUUUAUUGUUUUCCUAAGCCAAUACGACAUGUGAUAAAAACCAUAUAUAUAUAUAUAUAUAUAUAUAUAUAUAUAUAUAUCAAGUGAAAGGAGUAACUUAAAUGAGAGAUGAGAGGAUAUAAUAUCAGCCCUAUAUACCAAUUUUUUCACCAAUCUAUCUAUUUUACAUAUAAAAUUGAUUCGAUUUUGAUAUUAUUUGACGUUUAAUUUUUGUUAAUAGAGAUAUAUUAUUGAUAGAAAAAAUUAGGAAUGUAAUAAAAAAAAACAGUAAAUAACUUAAUUUGAAUAACCUUUUCAGAAAAGAAAAAAACUUAAUUUGUUAUCAAGACUUUAUUUCUUAGGGGACUAAAUAUUAACAAACAUCAUCAAUGAAUAAUAGAGUAAUUUGAUAGUUCUACUUUUCAUGUUCUUUAUACUAAAUCAUGUUCUAAAUUGCAGUUGUGAUACAAUGCAAGUCUUAAUAAUUUUAGAGAAAUGCAAACAAAUGCAACCGACAUAUGGCUACAUUUAUAGUUGCAAUGUCAUUGCAAAAACAUUUAAAACUAUAUAAACUAUCAUGCCUAAUACUACUAACUAGCUAUAAUUAAAGUUAACACACAUUAGAGUUUUAUGCAGCGGGAGCAUAGUCAUAACCACCGUCAUCGUCGUCAUCGCCUUCCCUGUAUAAAUUUCGAUCCCCGUUGGUAUAAUCUUCUUCAAUGCAAGAUACACACGUAUAACCGAACCAAUCACCGUCACCUUCACCAUUAUAUGCAUAUUGCUUGCACUUUGGAGCAAUGACCGUGGAAAUGAAUGUCAUUUUGGUUAUGUGGCUGGCUGGCUAUAUGGGAAUUGUGUGUCUUGAGUGGGCGUUGAAAAGAUGAAAAUGGAAAUUUUGUUAUAUGAGAUGCUAAGGUAGUUAUGUGAGUUGAGUUGAGAUAUUAAUUGGAGAGUUUAUGACUAUUAUAUAACAUGAAGGAUUUGUUGGAUUUUUCUUCCACAAGUAAACCACACAAGAAGUGUGUAUGUUUGCUUAAGGUGUGAGCAUGGCUCCUUGCUUGCAUGUGUAAUGGGAUCUUGUGCAGCCACAUUGGCAUUUGUCUUUACAAUUCAGCGUACAUGUUGGGAAAAGAAGAAAAGAAUCAAGAAUAAUGGGAAAAUAUAAUUUUUUUAGUGGAUGCAUAUAAUGGUUGGGACAUAUAAAGUGUUAGAUGUAGAAAGUGGAACAAGUUGAUUGACUCAUUUUGCUUGGAAUUUCUUUUGGUUAGUCAAUGCCAAUGACCUUUAACUUUUGUCUUUUGAUUAUAUUCUCUGUAAGCCAGCGAUGCGGCGACGGGUGUUAAUAAAUUUGCUUGGAUCAUAUUUAGCUUUUUGGGGAUAUUUUACAACUUGUUCAAACACUAGAAUAUAGAAGAUUUGUUUUUAGGAAUAGAAUAGAAGAUACUACAGUAGUAUUUUGAUUCCUUCAUUUUAGAAGUACGGGACCCUUGUGUCCUAGCUUGUUGAAUCGCCCAAGGGGCAAAAAUUGUCUAAUUGUUAGGUUAUGAGAGAAGUUAGGAGGAUCAUUCACAUUGAGUCAUGUCAUUUCAUUCAUUUGAUUAUACACUUCCUUAAAUGGAGCUAGUUGAAGCCUUUGUCGAACCAUUGACUCUCUACCACUUUGUGGUUAUGAGGGGAGCUCAUAAAAUAAGAUUAAAAACAACCACACAAGUGAGACAUCUGUAUUUUAACCUAAAAUAUUAAGUUGCUUGUUAAAAAAAAAAAAACUUAAAAUAUUAAGUCACUAAAUUUAAGGUUAAUAAAUGUUUACCCCGUCAGUUGAGGUUUGAGAUUCCCCCUUGUCAUAUCAAAGGUUCUUUGAUUUUGGAUCCCGAUGGCUUGUGAUUGUGGAAAAUGGAUUACGUGGCAUGCUGAUUGGUAAUUUAUUUAUUUUUUUGAUUUUUUUCAAUAUUAUGUUGCUUUUCUUUUAACUAAAACUAAUUUAAAUCACUAAAAUUAUUAAAAUUCAUAUUAUAAAAACAAAAACAUUAUUAAUUAUUUUUAGAUAAAUUAAAUCAUAUGUAAAAAUGAAAAGAAGUAAACGUGAAAUUUUCUUCAUCAUCUUCGUCAAAAUUUCUCAUCCCAAAAUUUCUAAAAUUCUUUACAUCAUCAUCAAGCAACAAAAAAAAUCUCUUAAUAUUCAUUCACUUUGAAAAUCACUCUCUCUGGAAUUGAAGAAUCAGAUUAGUUUCAAAAUCCCUUUAACUUUCUUGUUUUUUUAUAUCUAAACUUAAAUCCAAAAAAAAAAAAAUCAAAACUUGCAGAUUUGAAAAAUUCAUCCAUUUUUAUCUAUUCAUUGAGAGAAAGACGAAGACCAAGUAGAGUGGCGGUUCACCGGAGAAUAUAAAUAUUUCACUGUUGUAAUCAAAUCUCAUCUCAUCUCAUAACAUCUCAAUUAAAUGUGUUGAAUUCCAAACACAGAGAAAAAAAAAUUGAAGAAGAUGAAGCCACAUAAAAGAAAUAAGUCCCGUAUUCUCUUUUUAAUUUAAUUUUUAAUUUUCUUAUGGGCAUUUUUAUUUUCUUAUUGGCAUUUUAUGAGUCACAAUUUAUUUAAUAAUGCCCUAUCCUCACAAAAAAAAAAAAACAAAAAAACAAGUCAGCGUGCCACCUCAUUAAUUAAUGCACAGUCAGCAUGCCACAUAAAUUUAAGAUGUCAUUAGGGUCUAAAACUAAAGAAUCUUUAAAUGGUAAAGGAAAUCUCAAACUUUUUAUUUUACAAGGGGCGUAAAUUAAAAUCAACUCAAAUGACAGAGGAUAAACAUAUAUUAAUCCUUAAAUUUUUAGAUCCUCUCAUUUAUAUAUUGGUAAAAUUCACUUUUCUAUCUCAUGUGCGACUUCUAACUCGUCUUGCACUCACCACAACACAAGCAGGACAUUAAAACUCUUUUAAACGACAAAUAACUAAUAAACUAUUGCACAGGGCCUCCAAAUUUUGGGGCCUAAAAUUUCCAAAAAAAACAUUAAGUAGAAAUAUUUAAGAAUUUAAAUAUUAUUAAUUUACAAAUUUGAGUUUAAUUAUAUCAAUAAAUCUCAAAUUUUGAGCAUUAAGUCUAUAGUCUUCAUCUUCCGUCUUUUAUUUGAGUAGGAUAGAAUGAAAAUGUCGUUAAAAUCCCACACAUAUAAGUGAAUGAGUCAAAGUUUAAAUUCCUGGAUAAAGUAUCUAACCUAACAAUUUUAACGGUUUUAACAAUUGAGUUAAGACUUAUAAUCUCCCACCAUUUUUUAAGAAGCAAAACUCAACACUAAAAAAUGGCUAAAGGGUAAAAUGAGAGAACCAAGAAUAAGCUGCAUUUUGGAGCUUCAAAGUUGGAAAACGGCACUUUAACUCACUCUCACAGGUUUCUUUUCUCUAAGGUUUUUCUUUGUAGCGCGUAAAAUAAGAACAAAACGAUGAUUGUAAUGAUGACAUUUUUUUCUUUGCACUUUGGACCUCAAAUUUGUUAUAAUAUUUCAAGUGAAGCACUAGCACUUAUUGCAAUAUUUAUUUAUGCUAUUUCCUCCUUCAUAAUUCAUUUUCUUUUAUUGUUUUACUAAACACUUAAUCAUCCCAAAAUUACAUUAAUCUAUUUUAAUAUGUAUCUAGGAUAGACAAUGAAGAUGUAUACAAAGUAUGGUAAUAAGAGAAAAAAGACGAAUCAAUAGGGUUAGAUAUAUAAUAACUAGUUUUGAGUUUUUUUAAUGAUGUUUGUGUUGAUAUUCUAAAAUAGAGAUUAAAAUAUUUUAUAAUUAUCCCCAUGAGCUUAGCUCAGUUGAUAAUGAUAUUGCAUAUUAUAUACAAGGGCCGAGGUUCGAACCCCGGACACCCCACUUAUCCACAACAUCUAUAGUAAAGGUUGAAACUAUCACUAUAAGCACAUUUAUAUCUUUUUGGAAGAGAUGAUGCUCAGUUCACCAUAGAGAAUGUGAAUCGGAACUUGUGUAAGCCCCUUCAAAUGGUUAUGUACCAUUGACACUGAGCCCCCAAUAGGAGUACGAGCAACUCUUGCAUAGGAAAAACCCCAAAUAAAAUAUAUUUGGACACACAAAUGAUAAUAAUUAAAAGAGAAAUGAUAUUAAGUGAUGUGGUUAAAGUAUUUAUCUUUUAGAUUAUUUUUGUUUGUAUGUGUGAGAUACAGUUUCUUAACGGAUAAGAAGAAAUGGUCAUUUUUUAUGAAGAGAAAUGCUAACUUCACAGGUUAAAAAGUUAAAGAUAUAAUUACUUUUUUGAAAAUUGUGUAUUCAACAUUAUAAAAGUUUAAACAUUUAUUCUAUCAAUACAAAAUUUAUUGCUUAUUUCUUUUUAUAGCUCCUUUACUUGUGCCCUAAUGGUACACGUUAGCAUGAUCCUUUUAUGAAAUGUAAACACAAUUACAAUAUCAUUGCACCACAAUUACAAUAUCAUUGCAAGACCUUUAAAACAAUAAAACUACCAUGAUGCCUAAUAGUAACUAGUUAGUGACUAAUGUAAGUUAACACAUUAGAGUUUUAUGCAGCGGGAGCAUAGUCAUAACCACCGUCAUCGUCGUCAUCGCCUUCCCAAUAAGAAUCAUGAUCCGUGUUAUGAUAAUCUUCUUCAAUACAAGAUACAGAUGUACAACCAAACCAAUCAACUUCACCUUCACCAUAUGCAUGCUGCUUGCAGUUUAGAGCAAUGACCAUGGAAAUGAAUACCAUUAGUUAUAUUAUAUGCUAAGGUAGUUGUGUGAGUUGAGUUGUGUUUAUUUGAGUUACCAUUGGAGAGUUUGUGUGUUAUAUAUAUAACUAGAAGAUAAGUUGUUGGAGUUGUUCUAACACAAGCAAACCACACAAGAAGUGUGUAUGUUUGCUUAAAGGAAUGAGCAUGGCUACGUGCCUGCAUGUGUAAUGGCAUAUUGGGCAGCCACAUUGGCAAUUGUCUUUACAAUUCAGCUUAAAUGUUGGAAAUAGCAGCAAAGAAUCAAGAAUAUUGACAAAAUAGAAUGUUUGAGUGGAUGCAUAUAAUGGAUGUAUAGAACAUAUAAAGUGGAACACGCGACAAGUUGAUUCGAUUCAUUUUUGCUAUGAAUAUUUAUUGGUUAUUCAAAGGCCUUUAUAUAUGUUUUGUUGUUUCUUCUGUUUUUGGUUUGUAAAUGUUGUCAUUUCAUGAUAUUCUUUGGACGCGGCGACGAGAGUAAUAAUUUUUUCUGGAUCAUAUUUAAUUUUUUGGGCAUAUUACAACUUGUUGAAACACUAUAUUGUGGGUCCAAGUUUUAUACAGUAGUAUUUUUGUUCCUUCAUUUUAAAGGUACGGGACCCUUAUUAUGACUUUUAUCAAAAAAUAUUGGACCAUAAUAGAAAUUCGGAUGAUUAUUCAUUUUUAGUCAAAUUAUUUUAUUCAUCUGAUUAUAUUCUACCUUAAUCGGUUUUCUUUUUUUAUUCAUGUACUCUUGCAUGGCCGUUAGUCUGUUUCCACCGUAUCAGUAGGACAUACCAUCUGAUCAUUCUUAUCAAGAAGAGUUUUGAUACAAAGAGUUGGUCGAACUCUUUGUCAAACCAUCGACUCUGAUAUUAUGGUUGGAUUAAUGAGAAGAGUCUAGAAGAUUGGACCAAAAGCAACCGCACAAAUGAGACACUCACAUCUUAUUUCAAAAUCUUAAGUUAUUGAAUUAUAGAUCUUCUCAUUUAUAUAUUGAUCAACAAUUAUUUUUCAUCUCAUGUGAGACUUUAAACUGAUCACGCACUUGCCACAAUCCAAACAACACAUUAACCUCUUUUAAACAACAAAUAAUUUAUAACAUGUGAGUUUAUAGUUGACAGUGGAUAAACAAAGACGGAGAGAAGCAAGUAGAACAAUGGCUACAGCCUACAACUGCAAUCUUAGCCUAAUCUUUCACCAUUUUCUUGGGUAGACAAACAAAUUGAAAUAGCCAUUGGAAACUCAAUACACAUAAAAAUAAAGAAGUUGGAAUUUGAACCUCGGUUACGACGUUCGACCUAACAAUUUUGACUUUUUUUACCAAUUGAACUAUAAUUUGUGGACUUUCAUCAUUUUUGACAAACCAAAACUAAAGACUAGAAAAUGGCUAAACGGUAAUGAGAGAACGUAGGAGAAGUUGCUUUUUGUAGCUUUGAAGUUGGAAGACGGCACUUUAACUGACACUCACUGCUUUCUUUUCUCACUCAUAUUUUUUCUUCAAAAACAAUGAUGGUAGUGACAUUUUUCCUUUCACCUUGGCCCUUAACUUUAUUAUAAUUUUCCAGGUGAAGCACCCUUCCCAAAAUUAUAUUAGUCUAUUUUAAUUGUAAAAAAUUCUGCAAAUGGCAUGUGGUGGAAUUUCACACAUAUUUUUAUUGCCAUUUAUCGGUGUGUUGGCUCCAAUAUAGUUUUAGACUCGUUCGGUAAUUGAUUCGUUGAAGUUAGUUCGUGAACUAAAUGACCUAAACACAAGUUAAAAAUUAAGUCUAUUAACUAGAUGAAUAUGAGCAAUGAAUGUUCGACUUGUUUAUUCAGAAGUUGGUUUGAUUGUUUGUGAUAUUUAAAAAUAUUUAUUUUAAGUAAAAUUUAUAUACGUAUCAAAUAUCAAUACACCGUGAAUACAUACUCUACAAGUAUCAUAAUUAUUUUUUAAAAUAUAUUCUGCCAUAUAUUUAUAUAUGAUACUUCAAAGAAAGUUGCGGAUACAUAUUUGAAUAUGUAUCUAGGAUAGUUUUUUUCUACAUUACCCCUUGAUGAAUUAGUAGUAAUUGACCACUAUCAAAGAAAAAUCUUUUCUUCAUCUUUACGAUCUUACAAUCAGUUACCAUUUUAAUCUCAAGAAUACCAAACUUCUUCGUCUCCUUCAUUCAACAUGUAAUACCCAUCUCAUUUAUUCCAGAUCGAAACAUACUUGUCAUUAGGAGCAAAUUACCCUCAAUUCAUCAACGGGUAAUGUAGGCGUCACCCAGGGACGGAGCCAAGAAUUAAGCUUGGGGGGGACUAAGUUGAAACUGUGAUUUAGUGAAGAAAAUAAAAUGAAUGUUUAAAUGUACAAUAUUUACAAGAUAUUUAAGAAAUUAUUAGAUAUAUUCAAAAUUAUAAGAAAUUCAAGGAUAUAAGAAAGAUGAGAGUGUCUUUAGGCUUGUCUGAGAAUGAAAUGAAAUCGCGACCAACGAAUCGUUGGUAGUGCGCAACCAAAAUUGCAAUGAGGAAUCAUAUAUUGGGAUUCUAGUUAAUGAUUAAUUAGGGUUCUUCUGUAAAUUUCGGACAGAACCUCCCUUUCUUUUUCGCUAAAAAUUCUAGUUAAGUGGCAAUUAAGACUAGAAACUUAGGUGUUUAAAAUCAAUAUAUUGAGCAAAAGGAAGUACCAUUAUACAAUAUCAUAUAUAGCUCAACAAAAAUAUAUAUAGACCAACAAUAUUUGUAUACUAGUAUAAUUUUAUUUUUUUUAAAGUUCAGGGGGACCGUGGCCUCUGUUGGUCCCCCUUCUAGCUCCAUCUUUGGUGUCACGAAUAGAUUUUUUUUUACAAUCAUUUACCAUUUUCAUAUCAAGAACAUCAAACUUCUUUGUUACCUUCAUUUAACAUGUGAUUUCCAUCUCCUUUGUUUGAUAAUUGAAUCUUACCUUUAAAACUAUAUCAUGCUAUGCUAAGAAACAUGGCAUAGAAAUUCAUGGAUGAAGAGAUAAAAACUUAAAACUCUUUUAUAUUUGAUAAAAGUAAAAUGUUACAAAUGAAAGGGAAAAGGAAAAAAAAAAAAAAAAAAAAAAGUAGUACCGUUAAUGACAUCUAGCCUAUUUAUAAGCAAUAACAAACUAAUAGUUAAGUACUAAUUUCGAACUAUAUUAAUCGACUACCAACUAUAUCUUUAAUAUGCUAUAAAGCUAACUAGAAGACUAAUGUAAGUUAACACAUUAGAGUUUUAGGCAGCGGGAGCAUAGUCAUAACCACCGUCGUCGUCGUCGUCAUCGUCGUCGCCUUCCUUGCAUGAGUCUCGAUCUCCAUUGCGGUAAUCUUCUUCAAUGCAAGAUACACUUGUAUAAUCAAACCAAUUACCUUCACCAUAUACAUGUUGCUUGCACUUUAGAGCAAUGACCAUCAAAAUGGAUGCCAUUUUAGUUAUAUGAGAUGCUAACGUAAUUGUGUGAGUUGAGUUGUGUUUGAGUUAGAAUUGGAGAGUUUGUGUGUUAUAUAUAACAUGAGAAAAGUGUUGAGUUAUUGUGCCACAAGUAAACCACACAAGAAGUGUGUAUGUUUGCUUAAGGUGUGAGCAUGGCUCCUUGCUUCCAUGUGUAAUGGGAUCUUGUGCAGCAUCAUUGGCAUUUCUCUUUACAAUUCAGCUUACACGUUGAUAAAAGCAACAAAGAAUCAAGAAUGACUAAAUAGAAUGUUGGAUGUAGAAAGUGGAAGGACAAGUUGAUUGAUUCAUUUUGCUAUGAAUUUUUAUUGGUUAGUUUGCAUAUGUUUUGUUUUGUUAUUUGGAAAUGUUGUCAUUUGAUGAAUUCUUUGGAAGCCAAUCACGCGGCGGCGAGAGUAAUAAUUUUGCUUGGAUCAUGUUGAACUUUUUGGGAUAUUACAACUUGUUGAAACACUAUAUUGUGGGUCCCAGUUUUAUACAGUAGUAUUUUUGUUCCUUCAUUUUGAAGGUGCCAACCCUUGUGUCCUAGCUUAUUAAUUCAUCCAAGUCGCAAUAUUUAUCAAAAUAUUGGACCAUAAUGUAAGUUCGGAUGACUUCGAGUCAAAUCAUUUUAUUAUCGAUUUUCUUUUUUUAUUCAUGUACUCUUGCAUGGUCGUUUCCACUAUAUCAAUGAGACAUCACUUCUCAUCGUUAUUAUCAAGAAGAGUUUCGAUAGAAGGAGUUUGUCAGAGUUUGUCGAACCCUAGACAUUGAAAUUGGUGUUGGAUCAAUGAGAAGAGUUUAGGCAAUUGAACCAAAAGUAAUUGAAUAAAUGAGACACUCAUAUCUUAUCCUAAAAUCUUAAGUUAUUAAAUUAUAGAUCCUCUCGUUUAUAUAUUGGUCAACACUUUCUUUUUUAUCUCAUGUGAGACUUUUAAUUGACCUCGCAUUUGCCACAAUACAAACAACACAUUAAACCUCUUUUAAACAACAAAUAUUUGAUAAACUAAUUGAUAAUAUGUGAGUUUAGAGCUGAUAGUGGCCGGAUAAACAAAGAUGGCAAGAGAAGCAAGUAGAACAAUGGCUACAACUGCAAUCUUGACCUUUCUUCUAUAAUCUUAAUCUUUCACACAAUAUACACAAAAGUGAAGAAGUUGGUGUUCAAGCCUCAUUCAUGACAUUCGACCUAACAAUUCUGAGACAUCUUUUUUUUUUUUUCGGUGGUGGACGGGAUUUAAACCCCAGACCUUGCAUAUAUUAUAUAUUGUCCUUACCAACUGAGCUAUGCUCACGAGAACGAAGAUGACAUCUUAAUUAACGUUCACUACUUUCUCUUCUCACUCAUAUUUUUUUCUUUGCACUUUGGGCCCUUAAAUUUAUUAUAAUUUUCCAGGUGAAGCAUCCUUUGCAAUAUUUAUGCGUUUUCCCCCUUUUUAAUUCAUUUUCUUUUAUUAGUCUAUUUUAAUUAUUAAAAAAAUCUGCAAAUGACAUGUGGUGGAAAUCCACACAUAUUUUUUUACCAUUUUUCAGUGUGUUGGCUCUAAUGUAAUUGGCUCUAAUAUAAUUUGAGAAGCGUUCGGUAAUUAAUUUGUUGAACGUUCGUGAACUAAAUAACCUAAACACAAGUUGAAAACUAAGUCUAUAAUUAACUAAAUGAAAUAAACGUGAGCUAUGAAUGUUCGACUUGUUUAUUCAUAAGUUGGUUUGAUUGUUUGUGAUACUAACAAAAUAUUUAUAUUUAAAUUUAUAUACGUAUCAAAUGUCAAUACAUCGUGGAUAAUCGCGGAUACAUGCUCUACAAGUAUCGUAAUUAUUUUUAUUCAGAAAAAAGUAUAAUUAUUUUUUAAAAUAUAUUCUACUAGAUACAUAUAUCUGAUACUUCAAAGAAAGUUGUGGAUACAUAUUUUAAUAUGUAUCUCAGAUGGUUUUUUUUAAAGAAAGUCGUAAAUUACUCUCAAUUCAUUAAGGAGUAAUGUAGGCGUCACCGAUAAAGUUUUUUUUUACAAUCAAUUACCAUUUAUUUUCAUCUCAAGAACGUCAAACUUCUUCUUUACCUUCAUUCAACAUGUGAUCACUGUCUCUUUUGUUUCAUGUGAUCAACUCAUGCAAAUUUAUUUAUUUUUAAAUUGUGAUCAUUAUAAUUAUAUAUUAUUGAAGAAUCAUCGAUGGAUCUUCUUCACAAGUAAUAUGGAGUACAUGAUUUUUAUUUAAAAACUUUCUUAAUGUAUUUGGCCCGUAUCAUAUGUUGAAUUUUUAAAAUAACAAUCAUCAUACAUGUAUAAUAGAGUAAUUUGAUAGUGGGAUACCCUUUAAUACAAAUAAGUAAUCCAUAUGUAUGCCAAAGAAUGAAACAAAAAUAUACCACGCUCUUGUUCUGCUUUACAGCAAAAGGACCCGCACUCUUUUUUCAUUUAUAUAUCAUCUCCGUUUAAUUUCUUUUAAUACUAAUCACGAUAUUGAUAUAACUCAAAUCUUGAUACAAUGAUAUUGUAAAAAAAUGCAAACAAAUACAGCUGAUACGGCUACAAUUACAGUUACAAUGUCAUUGCAAGACCUUUAAAACCAUUAAAACUAACUAGCUAGUGUGACAUUAGAGUUUUAUGCAGCGGGAGCAUAGUCAUAACCACCGUCAUCGUCAUCAUCACCUUCCUGGUAAGAAUCUCGGUCUCCGUUAUGAUAAUCUUCUUCAAUGCAAGAUACACUUGUAUAAUCAAACCAAUUACCUUCACCAUAUGCAUGUUGCUUGCAGUUUAGAGCAAUGACCAUGGAAAUGGAUGCCAUUUUAGUUAUAUGAGAUGCUAAUGUAAUUGUGUGAGUUGAGCUGUGUUUGAGUUAGGAUUGGAGAGUUUGUGUGUUAUAUAUAACAAAAAGAGUUGUUGUUGGAGUUGUUCUAACACAAGCAAACCACACAAGAAGUGUGUAUGUUUGCUUAAGGUGUGAGCAUACCUCAGUGCCUGCAUGUGUAAUAGAAUCUUGUGCAGCCACAUUGGCAAUUGUCUUUACAUUCAGCAUACACGUUGGAAAUAGCAGCUAAGAAUCAAGAAUAUUGACAAAAUAGAAUGUUUGAGUGGAUGCACAAUGGUUGGGACAUAUAAAGUGUUGGAUGUAGAUAGUGGAACAAGUUGAUCGAUUCAUUUAGCUAAGACUUGUUAGUCAAUGGCCUUUUUCGAAAUGUUGUC
This 34533-nucleotide long non-coding RNA is filed under the name Medicago truncatula (barrel medic). RNAcentral's name for it is "long non-coding RNA (MTRU_LNC008778)". The record is from RNAcentral. Lineage: Eukaryota; Viridiplantae; Streptophyta; Magnoliopsida; Fabales; Fabaceae.